AGAAGCGGGCCGAGACGUUCAGGGUCGGGCGGCGGAGUCAUCGACUCUUCGGAAGGCCAAGGGCCAAGCCAGGGUCCAGGCCCUGAAGGAGCUCCACCACUGGUACCGCACCCUCCACAAGAAAGACGGUGGCGGGAGUCGGCGGCGUUGGCUUGGUCUCUUCUCUUCUGGGCCCAUUCACUUCUCAUGCUGUUGGCACUGAAGCAAUUGGUUCCUUGUUAAUCUUGACCUCUGUUCGGAUUCGAAGCUAAUUUGAUGCAGCCUGCAAGGUCUCGCUCGUCGUGACAUGCUGAUGAGGGAACGAUCGAGACGAGGAUCAUUGCACGAAAUUCAUCGAGCUGCUGAUGGAGGAGAAGGAUUUCAGAUCGGAGAAUGUUCAAGCUUCAGCCUUCUGGUGGAUUGCUGAGCUGGCAAAGGAUAAGAGGCACCGAAUGGGAUUUCAGCUGGGCUUGGGCUCUUGAGGAUGAUAUGCUCUCUCAGGCAGGUUGGAUCUUGAUUGUGAGUGUCGGGGCCGUCUCGCAGCUUGUUGAGCUCUUGCCGCAUCUUGAAUCCAGAGUCUCUGGAAGCUGCAUUGCAGAUUUUAGAUGAUUUUCAGUGAUCCAGAAGGAAGAAGUCUGAAGGAUUGCCAGCAGACUAUACCCAAUGCAGUGAGGAUACGGUGAGGGUUUCGGAGGCUUGUACUCGGCAUGCAUUGUCUAUUUUGUGGGCGAUCUGCACUUUGCACCUGAAGAUGUGCUUCCACUUGCAGUGGAAAUGGGUUUGGCUGCAAGGCUGCUGCUUAUAAUUCAGAGCGUUGUGAUCGAUGGUAAACAGCGGUCGGCCGAUCUGAAGAUCUGCAGUGUCAAUUUUCAGCAAGUAUUUAUUUCCAAGUGCAGCUUACGAGGACAAUACAGUAACCAUUGGAUGAUUACUAUUGGAGAUUGUUGCUCUAAUUAUCAUAUCCAUUUGACUAGGACCAGAGAGUCUAAGAAUUUGGGGAGCCCUUGGAGUAGAUCAUCACUAUUCAGAGAGAAUGAAGCUUUAAGAUAUUGGCAAGGGUGAAGAUGUUGUGCAGCGAGCAAUGAGAUAUAGACUAAAACCUGCUGCCUUGUGCAUACCACUUUCGAUACUUGAAAUCUCUCUUCUAGUGAUUUUCUUUGCCAAGAAGUAUCCAGAUGGUGAUUUUCUUGGGCGAAACUCAGCUGUGGAUUUAAUGCAUUGUGCCAUGCGCAAAAAUUAUCCUCAAUAAGAAGAGAUUGUGUAUGAUGGCUACCUUAGAUGCCACCUCCUGCUCUAUAGAAGUGACAUGAAGCAUAUCUCCCCUUGAAGCUAACUCACCGAGUCAUUCUUGUGCCGUUCAGUUGGGGUCAAAAUGUUGGAUGACAAGGAGAAGUAGGUUAUUUAGUAGGUUAUUUGUGAAUAAUCUGGAUGACAAGGUGAAGUAUUAAUAUAUUUCUCUUCAAAAAUUUUCCUUUGAACUGUACUAGGUUGCUACUGGAUAGCUUCUUCUUGAAGAUAAGUUACUCUGUUAGGUUUUCUUCUGCAGUAGUAUUCGACAUGAAUUCAAGAUUAGCCCUGUAUUGGAAUUUGAAUUGGAAAAUAAAAAGGAGAAGCAGUAGUACUCAUAUGGUGGAAGGUAAUGAAUUGAUAA
Phoenix dactylifera (date palm) is the source of this 1630-nucleotide RNA transcript. It is a transcript of the gene named U-box domain-containing protein 30 pseudogene, with no coding region annotated. The record is from RefSeq and is a predicted model, not a curated record. Lineage: Eukaryota; Viridiplantae; Streptophyta; Magnoliopsida; Arecales; Arecaceae.